Molecule: long non-coding RNA, 665 nt
Filed under: Arabidopsis thaliana (thale cress)
Lineage: Eukaryota; Viridiplantae; Streptophyta; Magnoliopsida; Brassicales; Brassicaceae
Description: long non-coding RNA (ATHA_LNC000666)
Source: RNAcentral
CUAAUUUGCGGUUAAAAGUUGUAGCAUCAAUUGAAACUGCAUCUAAGGUACAAUUUCGAUUUUUGUAUGGAAUCGUGUAUAUAUUAGAAUACAUAAGAAUUACAGUUUUAGUUUUUAAAUUUUGUUGUUACUAUUUUUUUUAGAUUGGAUAUUGUAUUGUCUCUUACAAAUAUAACUAUUCAAAUGAUUUAAUAGAACUUCAUUCAAGUAUUUUGAUAUUUCGGUGUAUGAUGGUUGAUAUUUUCUUGGAUUUUUAGCUAGUUUUAGAUAUUUUUUUUGUUAGAGAUUUAUUCUAUUGGUGUGCGUAUGUGAACAUAUCAUUACACUAUUGUGAGUGACAACAUCUACAAUUGUUGAAAUAACGAUAUUAAUAAUGGUAAUAUAAUGUCUUUGUCGUAAUAAUUUAUAAGGGGAAUAACAAUAAUAGUUAAAUUUCGUAUAUAUAAUGUAGGGACAUACAUGCAAGUGAUGGAAGUAAGGAGGCCCAUCGACAUGAAACGAGAGGGAGAGAUUAUAUCGUUGUCUCACCAAAAACAGACAGCUCUUCUCUCAUCUUCUUAAUUUCCCCUGUUUCUUUUUCUGUUCUAAAAUUGUUUUGCUUAUAACCUAUUUUUUUCUUGGUUAAAUAAUCCAUGUAGAGAAAGUAGAUUUUUACCAUCAACGAC